AUGAAGUUCUUCGGUUCCUCCACGUCCAAGAAGGAGAACAAGGGGAAGAAGAGAUCCAAAAGGAGCGGCAACGGCGGCUCCUUCGCCUCGACCGCGUCGUCGUCGGCAUCAGAUGACCAGUCUGUUACAACGCUGAGAUCCGUCCUGCCGUCGUCUUCGGGGCCGGCGGUACCGUCCGGCUCCGGGACGACCAAGAAACCGGCCCUGGUCGCCGUGACGCGGCUGGAGCUGGAGGUGGCGCUGCGUACAGUCGUGUCGACCGAGGAGGAGCUGGCCGCGAUGCUCGCCGAGGCGGAGGCCGGCCUCGCGCUUGAGGGGAUCGUGGCCGCGGAGGCCGCGGACGAGGGCGAGCUGAGGGACACAUUUGCGGUGUUUGACGCUGACGGGGACGGGAGGAUCUCCGCCGAGGAGCUCCGUGCCGUGUUGGCCUCCCUCGGCGACGAGCGGUGUUCCGUUGAGGACUGCCGCCGCAUGAUCGGCGGCGUCGACACCGACGGCGACGGCUUCGUCUGCUUCAACGAGUUUACGCGCAUGAUGAUGCUUGCGCCGUGA
RNAcentral lists this ribosomal RNA (552 nucleotides) under Triticum aestivum (bread wheat). RNAcentral describes it as "partial small subunit ribosomal RNA". The record is from RNAcentral. Lineage: Eukaryota; Viridiplantae; Streptophyta; Magnoliopsida; Poales; Poaceae.